This 404-nucleotide ribosomal RNA is filed under the name uncultured bacterium. Its description in RNAcentral is "bacterial SSU rRNA". It matches the Rfam family "Bacterial small subunit ribosomal RNA", at positions 120 to 518 of the family's 1533-position model. The record is from RNAcentral.
GACCAACUACCUUAUACAGGGGGAAUAACCUUUCGAAAGGGAGACUAACACCCCAUAGUAUUGAUUUAAGGCAUCUUAGAUUAAUUAAAUAUUUAUAGGUAUAAGAUGGGCAUGCGUAUGAUUAGCUAGUUGGUAAGGUAACGGCUUACCAAGGCGACGAUCAUUAGGGGUUCUGAGAGGAAGGUCCCCCCACACUGGUACUGAGACACGGACCAGACUCCUACGGGAGGCAGCAGUGAGGAAUAUUGGUCAAUGGGCGCAAGCCUGAACCAGCCAUGCCGCGUGCAGGAAGAACCGGCCUUAUGGGUUGUAAACUGCUUUUACAUAAGACUAACCGUAUAUUUGCGAAUAUACCUGAAUGUAUUAUGAGAAUAAGGAUCGGCUAACUCCGUGCCAGCAGCUGC